GACGAACCGUGCGAACGUUGUUCGGAUUCACUGGGCUUAAAGGGCGCGUAGGCGGGCGGUCAAGUCGGGGGGUGAAAUCUUUCAGCUUAACUGGAAAAGUGCCUCCGAUACUGAUCGCCUCGAGGGAGGUAGGGGCAUGUGGAACUUCCGGUGGAGCGGUGAAAUGCGUAGAUAUCGGAAGGAACGCCGGUGGCGAAAGCGACGUGCUGGACCUCUUCUGACGCUGAGGCUCGAAAGCUAGGGGAGCAAACGGG
RNAcentral lists this ribosomal RNA (254 nucleotides) under uncultured bacterium. Its description in RNAcentral is "partial 16S ribosomal RNA". It matches the Rfam family "Bacterial small subunit ribosomal RNA", at positions 524 to 776 of the family's 1533-position model. The record is from RNAcentral.